RNAcentral lists this unclassified non-coding RNA (350 nucleotides) under plant metagenome. Its description in RNAcentral is "partial contains 5.8S ribosomal RNA, internal transcribed spacer 2, and large subunit ribosomal RNA". The stretch from base 1 to 105 matches the Rfam family "5.8S ribosomal RNA", at positions 50 to 154 of the family's 154-position model. The record is from RNAcentral.
GAAAUGCGAUAAGUAAUGUGAAUUGCAGAAUUCAGUGAAUCAUCGAAUCUUUGAACGCACCUUGCGCUCCUUGGUAUUCCGAGGAGCAUGCCUGUUUGAGUGUCAUGGAAUUCUCAACUCUAUUUGCUUUUGUGAAUAGAGCUUGGUUUUGGAGGUUUAUUGCUGGUACUUGUGAUCGGCUCCUCUUGAAUGCAUUAGCUCGAACCUUUGCGGAUCAGCUAUCGGUGUGAUAAUUGUCUACGCCGUUGCAGUGAAGCAUAUCAAUGGGCUCGGCUUCCAAUCGUCCUUUACUGGACAAUGACUUUGACCUUUGACCUCAAAUCAGGUAGGAUUACCCGCUGAACUUAAGC